Molecule: ribosomal RNA, 674 nt
Filed under: uncultured bacterium
Lineage: Bacteria
Description: bacterial SSU rRNA
Rfam family: Bacterial small subunit ribosomal RNA
Source: RNAcentral
UCAGAACGAACGCUGGCGGCAGGCCUAACACAUGCAAGUCGAGCGGCAGCACGGGAAGCUUGCUUCCUGGUGGCGAGCGGCGGACGGGUGAGUAAUGCAUAGAAAUCUGCCCGGUAGUGGGGGAUAACCUGGGGAAACCCAGGCUAAUACCGCAUACGUCCUACGGGAGAAAGCAGGGGAUCUUCGGACCUUGCGCUAUCGGAUGAGUCUAUGUCGGAUUAGCUUGUUGGUGAGGUAAUGGCUCACCAAGGCGACGAUCCGUAGCUGGUCUGAGAGGAUGAUCAGCCACAUCGGGACUGAGACACGGCCCGAACUCCUACGGGAGGCAGCAGUGGGGAAUAUUGGACAAUGGGCGAAAGCCUGAUCCAGCCAUGCCGCGUGUGUGAAGAAGGCCUUCGGGUUGUAAAGCACUUUCAGUGGGGAAGAAGGCCUUGGGGCUAAUACCCUCGAGGAAGGACAUCACCCACAGAAGAAGCACCGGCUAACUCCGUGCCAGCAGCCGCGGUAAUACGGAGGGUGCAAGCGUUAAUCGGAAUUACUGGGCGUAAAGCGCGCGUAGGCGGUCUGAUAAGCCGGUUGUGAAAGCCCCGGGCUCAACCUGGGAACGGCAUCCGGAACUGUCAGGCUAGAGUGCAGGAGAGGAAGGUAGAAUUCCCGGUGUAGCGGUGAAAUGC